AUGAGCGGCGGCUCGGCCCCCCUCCCCUACUCGAUGCGAGAUGUGGAUGGCGGCGCAUACAACAACGCCAAGUUCCGCCAACGAUCUCGCCUCAAGAUGGUUACCCAGGCUCUUAUUUCUAAGAGCAGCAAAUACCAAUUUGGAAAAUUCACCCUUGGGAAAUUCUUGAGUCUUCUAAUGGUUUCUGGCUUAAUAUACUUGCUUGCGCACAAAAGUUCGAAGGGUUUUGUAUCUGGUGAGCUCCAUGACAAAGAAGUAGAGAGUAGACAUGCCAGUAAAGAUUCUCCCACUAUCCGUACAUUCUGGAGAAAGCCACCAAGGCUACCUCCACGUCUUCCUCCAAAUGAAAUAUAUAAGAACAGUUCAACACUUCACCACCCCACUUCAUCUGAAUGGACAUCCAGGCAGAAGAAAGUUAAAGAAGCAUUCGAACAUGCAUGGUCUGGCUACCGAAAUUAUGCGAUGGGUCAUGAUGAGCUUAUGCCUUUGAGCCGCAGAGGUGUAGACGGAUUAGGAGGUCUAGGUGCUACUGUUGUGGAUUCUUUAGACACUGCAAUAAUAAUGGGUGCUGACGAUAUUGUGUCUGAAGCAUCAAAAUGGAUUGAAGACAACCUAAUGAAAAAGAUCAGCGAGAAAGGGCAGGUCAACUUAUUUGAAACCACUAUCCGUGUCUUGGGAGGGCUUCUUAGUGCAUAUCAUUUGAGUGGUGGAGACCAAGCAGGAGGAGGUGAUUCUGGGAUAGCAGUAACACCUAACAAGACUAAUCCAGAUCGUCUUCUGGCAGUCUCAAAGGAUUUAGCAGACAGAUUAUUGUUAGCUUUUACAUCAAGUCCAUCGGCUAUACCUUUUAGUGAUGUUGUUCUUCGUGAUCGUUCUGCACAUGCAUCCCCUGAUGGCUUAAGCAGUACCUCUGAGGCUACAACAUUGCAACUGGAGUUCAGUUACCUUAGCAGAAUAUCAGGAGAUCCAAAGUAUGACUCAGAGACAAUGAAGGUGUUAGAGCAUAUGCGAACACUCCCAACAGUGGAGGGUUUGGUGCCUAUUUAUAUUAAGUAUGCAUGGCUUCAACCCUUAUGUAUCUUUCCCUACUCUGGACAGUUUAGCGGAGAGAAUAUUCGACUAGGGUCGCGUGGUGACAGUUACUAUGAGUACCUAUUAAAAGUUUGGAUUCAGCAAGAAAAUUAUCGUAACACUAGCUUGAAGUAUCUAUUUGAAAUGUAUACGGAAGCAAUGAAAGGGGUCAGGCAUCUUCUUGUUCGGAAAACUACUCCAAAUGGGCUAGUUUUUGUUGGGGAGCUUCCCAGUGGACGAAAUGGUGCUUUUAGCCCUAAAAUGGAUCACCUGGUUUGUUUUCUUCCUGGCACCCUUGCUCUGGGUGCAACAAAGGGUAUCACUAAGAAAAAGGCUCUUGAAAGUAAUCUUCUAACUAAGGAAGACAUAGAAAAUCUUCAGCUUGCUGAAGAUCUGGCUAAAACUUGUGUUGAGAUGUACUUUGUGACUUCUACUGGACUUGCUCCUGAAAUUGCUUAUUUUCACAUUGAGGGUAAUCCUGAAGGUGGACCUGAUGGUGGGAACAAAAGUUCUGAAUAUAUUAGUGACAUCAUAAUCAAGCCUCUUGAUCGUCACAACCUUUUACGCCCAGAGACUGUGGAAUCCCUAUUUGUUUUGCAUAGAAUCACAGAGGAUCCAAAGUAUAGGGAGUGGGGUUGGCAAAUUUUUCAGGCCUUUGAGAAGUAUACAAAAGUUGAUUCUGGUGGUUAUACUUCACUGGAUGAUGUCACAAGCCUACCUCCACCUAGGAGAGACAAAAUGGAAACCUUCUUCCUGGGGGAAACAUUGAAGUACCUGUAUUUGCUGUUUGGUGAAAGUAAUAUUCUUCCACUGGACAAGUAUGUAUUUAAUACUGAGGCCCACCCACUUCCGGUCAUUCGGUCUGUGGUACAGGUUUCUAAUACCGUAUAG
This 1962-nucleotide ribosomal RNA is filed under the name Triticum aestivum (bread wheat). Its description in RNAcentral is "partial small subunit ribosomal RNA". Lineage: Eukaryota; Viridiplantae; Streptophyta; Magnoliopsida; Poales; Poaceae. The record is from RNAcentral.